Molecule: ribosomal RNA, 301 nt
Filed under: uncultured bacterium
Lineage: Bacteria
Description: partial 16S ribosomal RNA
Rfam family: Bacterial small subunit ribosomal RNA
Source: RNAcentral
CAGUCGCCGCGGGAACACGAAGGGGGCUAGCGUUGUUCGGAAUUACUGGGCGUAAAGCGCACGUAGGCGGACAUUUAAGUCAGGGGUGAAAUCCCGGGGCUCAACCUCGGAACUGCCUUUGAUACUGGGUGUCUCGAGUCCGGAAGAGGUAAGUGGAACUGCGAGUGUAGAGGUGAAAUUCGUAGAUAUUCGCAAGAACACCAGUGGCGAAGGCGGCUUACUGGUCCGGUACUGACGCUGAGGUGCGAAAGCGUGGGGAGCAAACAGGAUUAGAUACCCCAGUAGUCCCUGUCUCUUAUAC